GACGAACGCUGGCGGCGUGCCUAAUACAUGCAAGUAGAACGCUGAAGAGAGGAGCUUGCUCUUCUUGGAUGAGUUGCGAACGGGUGAGUAACGCGUAGGUAACCUGCCUUGUAGCGGGGGAUAACUAUUGGAAACGAUAGCUAAUACCGCAUAACAAUGGAUGACACAUGUCAUUUAUUUGAAAGGGGCAGUUGCUCCACUACAAGAUGGACCUGCGUUGUAUUAGCUAGUAGGUGAGGUAACGGCUCACCUAGGCGACGAUACAUAGCCGACCUGAGAGGGUGAUCGGCCACACUGGGACUGAGACACGGCCCAGACUCCUACGGGAGGCAGCAGUAGGGAAUCUUCGGCAAUGGGGGCAACCCUGACCGAGCAACGCCGCGUGAGUGAAGAAGGUUUUCGGAUCGUAAAGCUCUGUUGUAAGUCAAGAACGAGUGUGAGAGUGGAAAGUUUACACUGUGACGGUAGCUUACCAGAAAGGGACGGCUAACUACGUG
Molecule: ribosomal RNA, 497 nt
Filed under: uncultured bacterium
Lineage: Bacteria
Description: partial 16S ribosomal RNA
Rfam family: Bacterial small subunit ribosomal RNA
Source: RNAcentral